Molecule: non-coding RNA, 2932 nt
Organism: Arvicanthis niloticus (Nile rat)
Lineage: Eukaryota; Metazoa; Chordata; Mammalia; Rodentia; Muridae
Source: RefSeq, a predicted model, not a curated record
UCAAGCACGCAUGCAUGCAUGCACACAUACAUCCACACACAAUGCUUUUGACACUGAAAGAAUGGGUUUUCUGUUGCUGCUACUCGCCUCAGUGUUCAGCUGACUUGUGAAAAACACAGGAAAAGAUGAUCUUCAAAACGGCUAAACAAACCAAAAGGCAGCUAUGAUGACAUUUCUCCCAGACAGACCCAGCAUGACAGUGAGGGCCCAGGCAACCCAAGCCAUGAACAACAGUAGGCUGACUUGUGCAGGUAACCAGGUCCUGACUUCAAGGUGAGUUCAAAAGGCCAAGAGGUCAAGCCAUGAACCUACCCUUCCCCUGGGAGAACGGUUGCUUUUCGGAAUUCCAUGACAUAAUAAGGUUAGAAAAUUCCAUGCCGGGAGCAUCUGAAACCAAUUAUGGACACAUUGCCAAUUAUUCAGGAGUUUUGAUGUCCCAUCCAAGACAUUCCAGCAGAGUUCUGUAGGCACCAAGGGUCUGGCUGUGACACCCAGCUAGCACGCAGCAUCUCUCGGCUUAUCAUACACCGGGAUCGGAUAAUCACAUUAGUGAUGAAGACUUCCAGCCUGCCAAGCUAUAUUUGAAGCUACAGUCACCCAUCCCAUGGUGACCUCUCAUAUUGCAACAAUGAUACUCCAGGGUUACUCCUCUAGUCCCUUCCUCUGCCUGAUGAACUGAUUCCCUCGCUGUACAUUUGUAGGAAGGAGAUCCUGCCUGGUUCCAUUCAACUGUCUUUACAAGAUUAGAGCCCUUUCCUGGCUUUGUGGCUCAAGCAACAAUUACACUGUUUGAUAUUUCUUGAUCUGUGAAAAUAACUUGGGGGAGCCCAACACAUCUGGCUUGAAUAAAUGAACCUGGAAACAAUAUCACAGACAAACAAAAAACAUGAGAUAUCUCCAGCUAAGGAACCGAGGUGCUCCAGAGAGAUCUUGCAAGCAUGACCACCCUUGUGCUGUCCAGGCAAGCUGGCUGCAUCCUGCUUGCUGCAUUCCAUCCUGAGGUGUGAGCUAUCACCACGGAGGAGCUGAGUUCUGCAGUCCGGAAGGGGCCUGUAUUAGACACAUAGACUUCCAGCCUUCCAGACAACUUUGUGGUGUUAUGAGAAUUCCUUCAUUGAAGAGACUCAAACAACAUCAGUCCCUCCUCACAAAUUCCCAAAUGACAGACAGAGUAUGAGUCUACCACAGUUCACCCCAGGGAACCCAUUGUUCAUUGGCUUACUUACAGUUACACUGGGAAACUCCUGUCCAGCACCCAUGAUGCCCACUUCACCCCCAAUGUCACAUAGAUAGAGUCCUCCCAGUUAAUCCUAUAUAGCUUCUGUACUCUGGUCCCUCCCCGGACCCCUGAAACCACAGGCAAAUAGGGCAGAUUUGCAGACAAAUGGCUGGAAGUGCAGAUAAAUAUUUAGUAACCACCUCCCUCUAUGAAGGAAUCUCAACAGUCCACGGACCCAAAAGUGCUUGACGCUUGCAAGCAGGCACAGGUGAUCUGACAAUAACAGUGAUUGUUCGACACUCGGUAGAUAGGUCCUUUCAACACUAGGAGAUUCUUAAGCAGCUGGCCUCCUUAAUCAAGGGCCUGCGUAGCCUGUUUGUAGGACAGGUGUGCCCUGGAGCACACAGAAAAUUUUAGGCAAAUCAGUCAGGAAAAUAACCCUAUUGGUUUCCCACUCACAACCAGAGAUGGCUGUCUGCUUAAGGAGUGUGGAGCAAAUGCUUUAGGCUCUGUACAAGGCCUUCUCAGAGGAAAGGGGUUUGAGGAGUCACUGAAAUAAAUUUAAUCAAGAGACACCACAUGUGUGGGAUAACGUGUGGAUUUUGAAGUAUUUUGAAGUACAGAGUGACAUGAUUUGGAGCUCUGCUCUGAUUGGCUCUUGUCAGUUCUGCAUUCUGUUGACAGGCCAUCCUUCACCAUACGGCAUCUCCCACACUCAUUGGAGUGUCGUGUCUCUUUCUCAGAGUCUUCUUGACUUCACCCCCUCAUUCUGUUUUCAUUUUCUCAGUCAUUGUGACCUGUUAGCACCAUGUCGUUAACCCUAAUGGACGUCUUGGCCACGCAACCAAACAUGGAGAGGACACUAAUUUGCUAUUCUAGAAGGCAAAGGGUCUUAUCUAUAUGGGAAUCCAAGCAAUCUCUAAUGCUGAGGAAUACCCACCUUAGCCCCCUACAUCUAUGAAGAGAGACGGCACAUGUGUACAAUAUGGUGACCUAUUUCCCAGCAUGCUUUCUUGAGGGACAGUACAGAAAGUUUUAUCAAGGCUUCUUAGAGACAGAAUGGGGGAAGCCCUGUAGAGCUGAAAAACAAAUUCAUACCCCUGUGUUUCCCAAAGUCAUGUACAGCCUUUGAAGAUGUUAUUCAGGGGCCAGAGAAUGCGACUUCCAUCAGGAGACUAAACAGCUUCACCUUUAAUCCAGGGAUUGAAUGCUGGUUUACUCUUUGCUGAUAAGGCCUACAAACCUAUAAAUUACUCAUGUUCUUGUGGUGAUUAUGUUAUAAAAGACCACCCAGGUCGAUGAAUGGGAACUUUUAGCUGAAGAAAAACCGAAAAAUAGCAAUUAUGUCUCAGAGGCUGAAUUCCACUCCACAGGCUCAGCGCUGAGAGAGCACCCUCCUUAGAAGUGUGGGUACCUGAGGAUACCAGAGGGAACAAGAAAGAAUAGGAUGUCGUUGCACACAGGAAUGGAUGACCAGGAGGAUCCCAAGGUUCUGCUCAUCCUGCCAGGCUUGCAUGAGUGUUCUGCUCAUUUUUGCUCUUCGAGGCAAUUAGCUGAAGUGCACAGAUGAAUAGGAAUCAGGCAGACACUAAAGGGGCGUGUACAAAGGGAGUAAACUCGGAAACAUUCGGUAGUGUCCAUUUAGACUGACCGCACCUGGCUACAGUGUUUGAUUUUUUUUUUCCUCAAUGAAGGAAUCACUCUCCCUUUGCA